CCCCUAGACGUUCUGGGCUGCACGCGCGCUACAAUAAUACGCACAGCGAGUAUCACCGAGCUCGAAAGGGCAAGGUAAACAAUAGAAAAGGUACUGUAAUGGUUAUAGAUCCUUGUAAUUAUUGAUCUUCAACGAGGAAUUCCUAGUAAGUAUGUGUCAUCAUCACGCACUGAUUACGUCCCUGCCCUUUGUACACACCGCCCGUCGCUACUACCGAUUGAAUGGUUUAGUGAGGCCUUCUGACUGGCGCCGCUACUCUGGCAACAGAGCGGCGGAUGCCGGGAAGUUGGUCAAACUUGAUCAUUUAGAGGAAGUAAAAGUCGUAACA
This 328-nucleotide ribosomal RNA is filed under the name uncultured eukaryote. Its description in RNAcentral is "partial 18S ribosomal RNA". It matches the Rfam family "Eukaryotic small subunit ribosomal RNA", at positions 1470 to 1796 of the family's 1831-position model. The record is from RNAcentral.